GGGGGGGGGGGGGGGCGGGCUGGGCGGGGGCGGGGCGGGCGGGGGGGCCCUGCUGGCCGGGUGCGCGAGUGGCGAGCGGGGGGGUAACACGGGGGUGGUCUGCCCUGCACUUCGGGAUGAGCCUGGGAGACUGGGUCUAAUACCGGCUAGGAGCCCGUUUUAGUGUGCGGGGUGGAGAGUUUUUUCGGUGUAGGAUGAGCUCGCGGCCUAUCAGCUUGUUGGUGGGGUAAUGGCCUACCAAGGCGGCGACGGGUAGCCGGCCUGAGAGGGUGGACGGCCACAUUGGGACUGAGAUACGGCCCAGACUCCUACGGGAGGCAGCAGUGGGGAAUAUUGCACAAUGGGCGCAAGCCUGAUGCAGCGACGCCGCGGGGGGGAGGACGGCCUUCGGGUUGUAAAAUCCUUUCGCUAGGGACGAAGCUUUUUGUGACGGUACCUAGAGAAGAAGCACCGGCUAACUACGUG
RNAcentral lists this ribosomal RNA (465 nucleotides) under uncultured bacterium. RNAcentral's name for it is "partial 16S ribosomal RNA". It matches the Rfam family "Bacterial small subunit ribosomal RNA", at positions 35 to 507 of the family's 1533-position model. The record is from RNAcentral.